Molecule: ribosomal RNA, 912 nt
Filed under: uncultured Dinobryon
Lineage: Eukaryota; Chrysophyceae; Chromulinales
Description: partial Bacterial large subunit ribosomal RNA
Rfam family: Bacterial large subunit ribosomal RNA
Source: RNAcentral
UAGUGGCGAGCGAACGGGGACUAGCCCUUAAGCUAGACAACUGGUAGGAGAAGGCUCUGGAAAGUGCCGCCAUAGUGGGUGAUAGCCCCGUAUCCGAAACCUGAGUCUGGUGAAAUCGAGUAGGACGGGACACGUGAUAUCCUGUCUGAACAUGGGGGGACCAUCCUCCAAGGCUAAAUACUCGUAAUCGACCGAUAGUGAACCAGUACCGUGAGGGAAAGGCGAAAAGAACCCCGGGAGGGGAGUGAAAUAGAUCCUGAAACCGUGUGCAUACAAACAGUAGGAGCGGACUUGUUCCGUGACUGCGUACCUUUUGUAUAAUGGGUCAGCGACUUACAUUCAGUGGCAAGGUUAACCAUAUAGGGAAGCCGUAGAGAAAUCGAGUCCGAACAGGGCGACAGUCGCUGGGUGUAGACCCGAAACCAAGUGAUCUACUCAUGGCCAGGAUGAAGGUGCGGUAACACGCCCUGGAGGUCCGAACCCACUAAUGUUGAAAAAUUAGGGGAUGAGCUGUGGGUAGGGGUGAAAGGCUAAACAAACUUGGAAAUAGCUGGUUCUCUCCGAAAACUAUUUAGGUAGUGCCUCAAGUAUCACCAUCGGGGGUAGAGCACUGUUAUGGCUAGGGGGUCAUGGCGACUUACCAAACCAUUGCAAACUCCGAAUACCGAUGAGUGCGAGCUUGGGAGACAGACGUCGGGUGCUAACGUCCGGCGUCAAGAGGGAAACAACCCAGACCGCCAGCUAAGGUCCCAAAGAUUGGCUAAGUGGAAAACGAAGUGGGAAGGCUAAAACAGUCAGGAUGUUGGCUUAGAAGCAGCCAUCAUUUAAAGAAAGCGUAAUAGCUCACUGAUCGAGUCGUCCUGCGCGGAAGAUGUAACGGGGCUAAGCCAGUCACCGAAGCUGCGGAUAUGC